Molecule: unclassified non-coding RNA, 282 nt
Filed under: Mycosisymbrium sp.
Lineage: Eukaryota; Fungi; Ascomycota; Dothideomycetes; Venturiales
Description: partial contains 5.8S ribosomal RNA, internal transcribed spacer 2, and large subunit ribosomal RNA
Rfam family: 5.8S ribosomal RNA (bases 1-52)
Source: RNAcentral
AACGCACAUUGCGCCCUCUGGUAUUCCGGGGGGCAUGCCUGUUCGAGCGUCAUUACACCUCUCAAGCACAGCUUGGUAUUGGGUGGUUGCCCCGGUGGGGUACCCCCGAAAAUCAGCGGCGGAGCAGCCAGAAGAUGAAGCGCAGUAAUAUUUGUUAAUGUAAAUCUCGCUACUGGACCUGUCUGCCCCAGCCGGAAGCCUUCAGCUAUCGUGGUUCUGCCCCGACGGCGAAGAAUUUCUAUGGUUGACCUCGGAUCAGGUAGGGAUACCCGCUGAACUUAA